UCCCAGCCUCUAGGUGGGUUCCUGACACAA
This 30-nucleotide non-coding RNA is filed under the name Homo sapiens (human). Lineage: Eukaryota; Metazoa; Chordata; Mammalia; Primates; Hominidae. The record is from RNAcentral.